RNAcentral lists this transfer-messenger RNA (356 nucleotides) under Candidatus Krumholzibacteriia bacterium. It matches the Rfam family "transfer-messenger RNA". Rfam says of the family: Bacterial tmRNA, also known as 10Sa RNA or SsrA, is named for its dual tRNA and mRNA-like properties. Lineage: Bacteria; Candidatus Krumholzibacteriota; Candidatus Krumholzibacteriia. The record is from RNAcentral.
GGGGGCGACCUGGUUUCGACGGGGAUUCACGAGGCGAGAGCCGCAAGUCGGGGAAUCCGAUUCAGCCCCGUUAUCAAGUAUCGGACACAAUUUUAACUGCGAACGAUAACUUCGCUCUGGCGGCUUAAAUAGCCCCAUGCCCGCCCGCUUUGCGUCUCAGGGAGCGGGGUCGGGUAUCAAACACUGAGACUGGUUCUGUUGCGGGCCUGACGCAUCAGCACGAGAAUUUCCAGGCUGGUUUUCCGAAGGUGCGUUUGGCCCCCUCGCGGAAAAUGAGACUCAAUGCCGGACUACACUUGUAGACGCUUUCGUUGAGGUUUUUUCGGACGCGGGUUCGAUUCCCGCCGCCUCCACCU